GGCCCCGUCGUCCAGAGGCCUAGGACGCCGGCCUUUCAAGCCGGAAACGCGGGUUCGAAUCCCGUCGGGGCCACCA
RNAcentral lists this transfer RNA (76 nucleotides) under bacterium. Its description in RNAcentral is "tRNA-Glu". It matches the Rfam family "tRNA". Rfam says of the family: Transfer RNA (tRNA) molecules are approximately 80 nucleotides in length. Their secondary structure includes four short double-helical elements and three loops (D, anti-codon, and T loops). Further hydrogen bonds mediate the characteristic L-shaped molecular structure. tRNAs have two regions of fundamental functional importance: the anti-codon, which is responsible for specific mRNA codon recognition, and the 3' end, to which the tRNAs corresponding amino acid is attached (by aminoacyl-tRNA synthetases). tRNAs cope with the degeneracy of the genetic code in two manners: having more than one tRNA (with a specific anti-codon) for a particular amino acid; and 'wobble' base-pairing, i.e. permitting non-standard base-pairing at the 3rd anti-codon position. The record is from RNAcentral.